This 251-nucleotide ribosomal RNA is filed under the name uncultured Actinomycetales bacterium. Its description in RNAcentral is "partial 16S ribosomal RNA". It matches the Rfam family "Bacterial small subunit ribosomal RNA", at positions 82 to 334 of the family's 1533-position model. The record is from RNAcentral. Lineage: Bacteria; Bacillati; Actinomycetota; Actinomycetes; Actinomycetales.
GUGGGGUGCUCGAGUGGCGAACGGGUGAGUAACACGUGAGUAACCUGCCCUUGACUUUGGGAUAACUUCAGGAAACUGGGGCUAAUACCGGAUAGGAGCUCCUGCUGCAUGGUGGGGGUCGGAAAGUUUCGGCGGUUGGGGAUGGACUCGCGGCUUAUCAGCUUGUUGGUGGGGUAGUGGCUUACCAAGGCUUUGACGGGUAGCCGGCCUGAGAGGGUGACCGGCCACAUUGGGACUGAGAUACGGCCCAG